GACGAACGCUGGCGGCGUGCCUAACACAUGCAAGUCGAACGAAUCUAAGAGGGAGCUUGCUUCCUCUUAGAUUAGUGGCGGACGGGUGAGUAACGCGUGAGUAACCUGCCUUUCAGAGGGGGAUAACGUCUGGAAACGGACGAUAAUACCGCAUGACAUUUCGAGACCACAUGGUCAUGAAAUCAAAGGAGCAAUCCGCUGAAAGAUGGACUCGCGUCCGAUUAGCUAGUUGGUGAGAUAACAGCCCACCAAGGCGACGAUCGGUAGCCGGGUUGAGAGACUGAACGGCCACAUUGGGACUGAGACACGGCCCAGACUCCUACGGGAGGCAGCAGUGGGGGAUAUUGCACAAUGGAGGAAACUCUGAUGCAGCAACGCCGCGUGAGGGAAGACGGUUUUCGGAUUGUAAACCUCUGUCCUUAGGGAAGAUAAUGACGGUACCUAAGGAGGAAGCUCCGGCUAACUACGUG
Molecule: ribosomal RNA, 470 nt
Filed under: uncultured organism
Description: bacterial SSU rRNA
Rfam family: Bacterial small subunit ribosomal RNA
Source: RNAcentral